GGAGGAGUGCAUUUAUUAGAACAAAACUAAUUUUGGUGAAUCUGAAUAACUCACGGUCCUCGAACCGGCGACAUAUCUUUCAAGUGUCUGCCUUAUCAACUUUCGAUGGUAGUUUAUGUGCCUACCAUGGUUGUAACGGGUAACGGAGAAUAAGGGUUCGACUCCGGAGAGGGAGCCUGAGAAACGGCUACCACAUCCAAGGAAGGCAGCAGGCGCGCAAAUUACCCACUCUCGGCGAGGAGGUAGUGACGAAAAAUAACGAGACGGUUCUCUCAGUCAUCGGAAUGGGUACAAUUUAAACCCUUUAACGAGGAUCUAUUGGAGGGCAAGUCUGGUGCCAGCAGCCGCGGUAAUUCCAGCUCCAAUAGCGUAUAUUAAAGUUGUUGCGGUUAAAAAGCUCGUAGUUGGAUCUGCUCGGCGGCCGGUCGCCCACAGGGUUGCCGAUCGGAUUGUCGGCAGUGUCUUUAACCGGAUGCUUUCGAUGGCCGAUACGUUUACUUUGAAAAAAUUAGAGUGCUCAAAGCAGGCUUGAGGCCUGAAUAGUGGUGCAUGGAAUAAUGGAAUAGGAGGUUCUAUUUUGUUGGUUUUCGGAGCUCGAGGUAAUGAUUAAGAGGGACGGACGGGGGC
This 627-nucleotide ribosomal RNA is filed under the name Haliplectus dorsalis. Its description in RNAcentral is "SSU rRNA". It matches the Rfam family "Eukaryotic small subunit ribosomal RNA", at positions 195 to 889 of the family's 1831-position model. The record is from RNAcentral. Lineage: Eukaryota; Metazoa; Nematoda; Chromadorea; Plectida; Haliplectidae.